AAUCACAGUACAUUUCAUUUGUCAUAUUUCUUUUCAGUAACAAAGAUGAAGAAUUAUUGCCUAACGUGUAUAUCCUUCUGUCAUAUUUUACGUUUCAUAGAGUCUGCCAGUUAUACUUUACCAAAGGAGAAUAUUUGUGAAUGUUCCACUAUCACCGUAUUGCUGAUAAGUUUUGUGGUACUAAUUGGUGGAGUGGCAGCAUAUGUUCGACAUCUUAAGAGAAGUCAUAAAAAGAGGUAUGCAAGAUAUUUAAUAAUCUUAACAGAAAUUGCAUCAUUUACAAUACAGAUAAACUAACUU
Long non-coding RNA from Mytilus trossulus (common blue mussel), 300 nucleotides. RefSeq lists it as uncharacterized. The transcript is spliced from 3 exons. The record is from RefSeq and is a predicted model, not a curated record. Lineage: Eukaryota; Metazoa; Mollusca; Bivalvia; Mytilida; Mytilidae.